This 332-nucleotide ribosomal RNA is filed under the name uncultured bacterium. RNAcentral describes it as "bacterial SSU rRNA". It matches the Rfam family "Bacterial small subunit ribosomal RNA", at positions 568 to 898 of the family's 1533-position model. The record is from RNAcentral.
CCUGCAGGCGGUCUCGUAAGUGGGAUGUGAAAUCUCCUGGCUUAACUGGGAGGGGCCAUUCCAUACUGCGAGACUUGAGGGCAGAAGAGGGAAGCGGAAUUCCCGGUGUAGUGGUGAAAUGCGUAGAUAUCGGGAGGAACACCAGUGGCGAAGGCGGCUUCCUGGCCUGCUCCUGACGCUAAGAGGCGAAAGCUAGGGGAGCGAACGGGAUUAGAAACCCCGGUAGUCCUAGCCAUAAACGAUGGAUACUGGGUGUCGGUGGUCCUAACCCCAUCGGUGCCGAAGCUAACGCGUUAAGUAUCCCGCCUGGGGACUACGGCCGCAAGGUUAAA